Molecule: long non-coding RNA, 803 nt
Organism: Scylla paramamosain (green mud crab)
Lineage: Eukaryota; Metazoa; Arthropoda; Malacostraca; Decapoda; Portunidae
Exons: 2
Source: RefSeq, a predicted model, not a curated record
CAGGACACUUUUAUUAGGAAGUGUAUGACGAAGAAGGCUGGCCACAGAUCAUGGACUUUAGAACCAGUAUAUAUCUACUAUGAAAGAAAAGAGAAGCAUUAUCUCCAUUUAUAUCACAUGAAGGCAUCCAGCAGGGUCUCACUGAUGAGUUUAUUGACGAGUAUUGCAACUGCAGUCUGACAUGAUCGGUGUAAGUGAAACAUGGUUCUCGCCAAGCAAACCAUUACUCCAUAACACUAACAGGAUUCAAGCUUAUUCUUAAAGACCGCGAGACAAGAGGAGAUGGAGAUACCAUAUACGUGAAUCGUGCCAGCGUGUCGUAAAACUUGCCUCACGCAUUUCCUGGUGUGCGCAAGAAGGUCACAGAAUCUGUUGAUCAGCCAUGUGUAAGAGAGGGGGAGAGGGCGAGAGAGCGGCGAAGGCUGCCAAUAGUAUAUAAGGCGGGUGAGAGCGAAUUUCGGCAUCACUUGAAGACAGUGACUCGUCGAGACAACAGCAACAUGUUCAAGGCUGUGCUUGCAAUAAUCAGUGUGUUCCUGCUGAUGGUCGCCGCACUGGCCAGCGCCAUGCCGGAGCCGGGAUACCGUAGCUAUAGUGGCUAUGGCGGCGGACACGGCGGCGGCUUCGGUGGACAUGGAGGCGGCUAUGGUGGAUAUGGUGGAGGCCACGGUGGUGGCUACGGCGGCUACGGCUACGGGCGCUGAAGUUGAGGACUGAGAGAAAUCUUUUGUCUUGUUGUAUUACGUUGAGGGAUGAAAGUGAACGAACCGUUUCGAAACAAUAAAUAAAAAAUCACUUUAUAA